Dermacentor andersoni is the source of this 1540-nucleotide non-coding RNA. The record is from RefSeq and is a predicted model, not a curated record. NCBI's taxonomy places the organism in Eukaryota, Metazoa, Arthropoda, Arachnida, Ixodida, Ixodidae.
AGUCGACGUGCAACCAACGUAUGCAUGGCAUCAGGAGCACAGAAGGAAGCGCCAAAAUGCUUUCAGUGGGCGACCUGCGAAGGACGUGUGCAUCACCAGGAGCACAGAGGAUGCGCCAGAAUGUUUAAUAGCCAAUACUUUGGCUCCUGAGGAGUGUGCGCUGUUCUGCAUGUGGUGCCCGGAUGGUAUCUUCCCUGCAUCCGGUUGUGAUGGUUUUUCCUCAGCGGUGCACAGUCUGCGUCCAAACCACAAAGGCGACUUGCAAGCGACUUGUGCAUUGCGUCAGGAAGCAGACGAUGCGCCAAAAUUCUUUUAUAACGACGUGCGAAUGACGUGUGCAUCGCCAGGAGCACAGAGGAUGCGCCAGAAUGUUUAUUAGCCAAUACUGAAGUUGUUGAGGAGUGUGCCCUGUUCUGGAUGGGCUGCAUGGAUGGCAUCUUUCCUGCAUCCGGCUGUAAUGGUUUCUGCUCAGUGGUGCACAGUCUGUGUCCAAUAUGAGAAAGCGGCCCGGUGAAGAAGGCACGCCUAAUCAGAGCACGCAUGCGCUAGAGCAAUCAAGUCACGUGCUGCGCCGUCAUGUGCUCCUCAGCGACGCAACCUUCGUUUGCUCCCGGCACAUGGCACGGACUGUGCACCCGUCGAAGCGAACUUCGUGAAUCCGCUGUGACAGCCAUUCGCGUGCGGCCCCGUGAAGUCCUCGUCAGCGACAGUCGCGCCCAUCAGAGCCUUCCUCUUGUCACCUGAGGCGCGUUGUACUGUGGCAUCCACCUACACGAAGGCGUGCCUACACUUAGGAGAUGAGGAGCAAUGUCGGCGAUGGGCCACAGCAUGGGUGGUCAUUGGUUCUGGACCGCUUCUCACCCGAAGCCUCGCGACCUAUUUGGAUCGACCUCGGAUUCAGAAGCGUAUACUCAUAGCGCCCUGGACGACCGAAACACGGUACCUUCAGGGUGCACAUCGACGGCUUCGAUGGACACUGCAAUAGCUGUGAUACUCUUCAUCGUAGCCUCUAAGAGUGGCGCAAGCGGACACUGUCACUUACGCUGUGGCAGUCGAUCGCGUGCAUCGCCGUGGCGUGUGGUGCACUACCCCUCGCUUAUUCAUCACCGAUUCCCUGGUGUCACCAGAGGUAUGCGCUGUACCGCUUUGGACGUCGGAGCUUCUGCAUCGCAUUUCAGUUCGGGAACUUCGUGAGUUUCCAGCACGAGCUAAACGGGUGGUCCAUUUGCCAUCGCCUGCUUUGACGUCGACUAUCGCGUCGGGGGGCAGCGCUUUCUCCGUACGCUGCAUCUCGUAGUCAGACUUCAAAUGACCCAAUGGCUCUUGGGCCUGCCUCUGCUUCAAUAGGUGCCGAAGGCGACUGCCAGAACAGGACAUCCAUCGGUCUGCAUGUAGCGCGCAUGAGAAUCCAUUCCCGAUGACCCUCAGCUCAUCUUGGGACAAACACCUUGGCUCCAGCAAAUGUGGGCUGAGCACCGGCACUGCCGUACUAACAGCUCGCAAGUGAUCUACAGAAAGUGUAGUGGCGCAAUAAACAUGA